Molecule: ribosomal RNA, 505 nt
Filed under: uncultured bacterium
Lineage: Bacteria
Description: partial 16S ribosomal RNA
Rfam family: Bacterial small subunit ribosomal RNA
Source: RNAcentral
AGUGAACGCUGGCGGUAGGCCUAACACAUGCGAGUCGAACGGCAGCACAGGAGAGCUUGCUCUCUGGGUGGCGAGUGGCGGACGGGUGAGGAAUACAUCGGAAUCUACUCUGUCGUGGGGGAUAACGUAGGGAAACUUACGCUAAUACCGCAUACGACCUACGGGUGAAAGCAGGGGAUCUUCGGACCUUGCGCGAUUGAAUGAGCCGAUGUCGGAUUAGCUAGUUGGCGGGGUAAAGGCCCACCAAGGCGACGAUCCGUAGCUGGUCUGAGAGGAUGAUCAGCCACACUGGAACUGAGACACGGUCCAGACUUCUACGGGAGGCAGCAGUGGGGAAUAUUGGACAAUGGGCGCAAGCCUGAUCCAGCCAUACCGCGUGGGUGAAGAAGGCCUUCGGGUUGUAAAGCCCUUUUGUUGGGAAAAAAUCCAGCUGGCUAAUACCCGGUUGGGAUGACGGUACCCAAAGAAUAAGCACCGGCUAACUUCGUGCCAGCAGCCGCAGUAA